AGCAGCAGCUAGGGGUCCUUUCCGGAAACGCCGGAAACUGGUGAGACAGUCCCUUACUACCUGACACGGAUAAUGCCGCCGUAGGGAAGCUGGGAUGUGACUAU
Molecule: non-coding RNA, 104 nt
Filed under: Nitrosospira sp.
Lineage: Bacteria; Pseudomonadati; Pseudomonadota; Betaproteobacteria; Nitrosomonadales; Nitrosomonadaceae
Description: TPP sequence
Rfam family: TPP riboswitch aptamer (THI element)
About the family: Vitamin B(1) in its active form thiamin pyrophosphate (TPP) is an essential coenzyme that is synthesised by coupling of pyrimidine and thiazole moieties in bacteria. The previously detected thiamin-regulatory element, thi box was extended, resulting in a new, highly conserved RNA secondary structure, the THI element, which is widely distributed in eubacteria and also occurs in some archaea.
Source: RNAcentral